This 73-nucleotide small RNA is filed under the name Microvirga sp. BSC39. RNAcentral describes it as "Makes More Granules Regulator RNA (mmgR)". It matches the Rfam family "Makes More Granules Regulator RNA (mmgR)". Rfam says of the family: SuhB later renamed mmgR (makes more granules regulator) was a putative non-coding RNA found multiple times in the Agrobacterium tumefaciens genome and related alpha-proteobacteria. The record is from Rfam by way of RNAcentral. Lineage: Bacteria; Pseudomonadati; Pseudomonadota; Alphaproteobacteria; Hyphomicrobiales; Methylobacteriaceae.
UGCUGCAGCCCUUCUUGGGCGUUUCCUCCCUGAACUUCGGGCCGCUUUCGAGCGGCCUUUUUUCCUUGGGGGU